CCCUCUUUCUGGUGAACCGGCGCACAUCGCCCAUACGCAUGCUUCUUUUCGUCUUUCUGGUAAACCAGCGCACGUCAAUGCACACCACCUAUAUCAUAUAUAAGCUGACAGCGCACUUCUGACCUCAAAAGUUUGCACCCAAACCGCUUUCUCUCCCUUGCCAAUCGCAAAAUUUCAGCUGGCAACUAUGUAAGCCUAGCGCCGCCAUGUUUAAAACGCGAUCCCGUGAUCUUUCGUCCCGCCCGCCAUGUUUAAAUUUGCUGCGUGUCUUCUUGUGAAGACGAGACGUGCACGUCCGGCGUAGAGUGCAGUUGACACAAGCGAGUUACUCACACAUGUCACAUCAGAGUCAGCAAUCUGGCUUGCCCACAGCGCUCAAUAAAAUUUGCCUUCAAUCCUGUGAUGGUGGCAAGAUUCCAAAUGACAUUUGCAACGCAACUCUGAAACCCAGAAAAGCCUCACGAGAAACAAUUGCUGUGAGACUGCAACAGCAUCUGCCAGUUAGAGAGGCUACAUCGCUUUGGAGUUUCCCGGUGGAACUCCUGUGUGAUGUGUGGCACAGUCGAGACACAUUGCCAUGCCCUUUUUGACUGCAUUAACGUUGCAUCUAUGUGGAGGUUGGUGGCCAUGCUUUAUCACCUGCCUGCCUGCAGUAGCAUACAGUACAGUACAGGUGCUUAUAACCUCAUCCCUGUGCAAGAAUGGAAGCGGCCCGCUUUCAUGCUGCUAGUGGCAGAGAUCACCUACCAAUACUGGACAGCAGAGACGAACCGGUGUGUACGGUUUGCAGCCAGUGACGCUUGUAAGUGUUCUUCUUGUCAGAAUUUACAACCCUCGGUUACGAACAAUUUAGGAGGUGUCGGAAAAGCCACUGGAAUGCGUUCGUGCUUGCCAAUGGCAAAAUCAUCUUCAAUUUUUGAAAGAAAAAAAACAGGAUCAAAAGACUGGGUUUGUGGGGACCCUCCCGCAGUGAGCUCCCUCCAACUACUGUGUGAAUGUAUUAUGCGACCGUGGUUACAGUGAUACAUAAUCUGCGAUACUUAUUCAUCAGUCAGAUCUUUUGGGUUCUACAUAACCAUCGGAGUGCAAGUGCAGUGAUCUCCACUGUGCAGUGUUUGUGAACAGAUUUCUAUACAUUCAUUCGGAUGCUUGUGUUCAUGUCUCAAAUUUGUCCAUGUAAUGUCCCAGUCCCCUUGAUUGUUUUGUCCAAGUUUUGUACUGCAGGCAUGUUGUCUCUAAGUUUUAAACAGUUCAUUAUUCUCAGUAAACAUCUGUUCUUAUCAGCUUAGUAUCUGAUAAGAGUCCUAUUUGUACUCAAGAUAUUAAACUUAUUUUUGGAAUA
Long non-coding RNA from Ornithodoros turicata, 1342 nucleotides. RefSeq lists it as uncharacterized. The record is from RefSeq and is a predicted model, not a curated record. The transcript is spliced from 2 exons. Lineage: Eukaryota; Metazoa; Arthropoda; Arachnida; Ixodida; Argasidae.